RNAcentral lists this long non-coding RNA (4299 nucleotides) under Olea europaea subsp. europaea. The record is from RNAcentral. Lineage: Eukaryota; Viridiplantae; Streptophyta; Magnoliopsida; Lamiales; Oleaceae.
UAGAGGCGGGUGAAUGUGCUGAAAUCUUACUUCAAAGUCUACCAGAUUCGUAUGAUCAACUCAUCAUCAACUUGACCAACAAUCUUGAAACUCUAGUCUUCGAUGAUGUUGCAGCUGCUAUUCUUGAAGAGGAAAGUAGGCGCAAGAACAAGGAGGACAGAUUGACAAGUUCGCAUUAGGCAGAAGCUUUAACGAUGACGAGAGGGAGAUCAACGGAACGUGGCUCUAGUGGGAGUCAUAAUCAGAGUAGAUCAAAAUUCAGGAGUAAGAAAAAUGUCAAUUGUCAUUGCUGUGGCAAUAAAGGGCACUUAAAAAGGGAUUGUUGGAGUCUCAAGAAGAAUGAAGAAGUCAAAGGAAAAGGUCCUGAGACGUCAAAAGCUCAGGGUUGUGUAGCAAGCUCCUCGGAUGAUGGUGAAAUUUUAUACAGUGAGGCAACAACAGUUGUUGAAGGCAGAAAGAAAUUUUUUGAUGUCUAGCUUAUGGAUUCAGGAGUUACAUGAUACAUGACACGAAUAAGGAAAUGAUUUCAUCAAUAUGAGACUAUCCCAGGAGGAUCUGUGUUUAUGGGAAAUGUCCAUGCCUUGGAGAUCGCUGGUACUGGUACCAUCAAAUUGAAAAUGUAUGAUGGUACAAUUCGCACUAUCCAGGAAAUACGGCACGUAAAAAGCUUGAAGAAAAAUCUAUUGUCUUUAGGACAAUUAGAUAGCAUUGGCUGCAAAACCCAUAACAAGAUGGGAUUAUGAAAAUAAUCAAAGGCGUGCUUGUGGUGAUAAAAGCGGAAAAGAUAGCUGCAAAUUUGUGUAUGCUUAAAGGAGAAAAAUUACAAGAAGGGGAAGCAUCUGUCACACGGACAGGUUCAGCAGAAGAAUUAACGAUGAUGUGGCAUCGCAAGCUUGGUCACAUGUCGAAACGUGGUUUGAAAAUUCUCUCAGAACAAAAGAUUCUUCCAGGGUUCAAAAAGGUUUCAUUACCCUUUUGUGAGCAUUGUAUUAAUAGUAAGCAGCACAGAUUGAAGUUCAGCAGUUCCACUGUUAGAAGUAAAGCUAUCUUGGAGUUGUUUCAUUCUGAUAUUUGGCAAGCACUGGUUCUAUCCCUAGGAGGUGCAAGAUACUUUGUAUCUUUUAUUGGUGAUUACUCUAGGAGACGUUGGGUGUAUCCAAUCAAAAGGAAGGCAGACGUGUUCACAAUCUUCAAAAUAUUCGAAGCACGUGUGAAGCUUGAAUCUGAAAAAAAAGAUCAAAUGUCUGAGAACUGACAAUGGAGGAAGUCUCGUGUACGUUAUGUACAACACCUAAGAAACAUCAAAACUGGAUCCAAAAUUCAGAAAAUGUAUUUUCUUAGGGUAUGCUGAUGGAGUGAAGGGGUACUACCUGUGGGUUCCCACCGGCCACAAGGUGAUAAUCAGCAGAGAUGUACAUCUGGAGCAGUUAGAUGUGAAAACUGCAUUUCUUCGUGGAGAACUUGAAGAAGAAAUUGUUAUGCUCCAACUAGGAGGUUUUAAAGAAAAAAGAAAAUAGAACUUGGUUUGCAGGUUGAACAAAUCUCUAUAUGAUCUCAAACAGGCGCCGAAAUGUUGGUACAGGCGCCGAAAUGUUGGUAGAAGAGAUUUGAUUCCUUCAUCGUGAGCGUUGGAUACAACAGACUCCGUUCAGAUCCAUGUACAUACUACAUGAGAUUUGGUGAUAAUGAUUUCAUUAUUUUGCUAUUGUAUGUUGACGACAUGUUGGUAGCAGGCCCCAACAAAGAUCGUAUUGAAAAUUUGAAGGCUCAAUUGGCUAGAGAGUUUGAAAUAAAGGACUUGGGACUGACAAACAAGAUUCUAGGGAUGCAAAUUUAUUGAGACAGAAAUAAUAGGAACUAGGAAGAUUUGGAUUAGUCAGAAGAAUUACUUGAAGAAAAUCUUGUGUCGCUUCAAUAUGCAAAAUUGUAAGCCAAUUUCUACACCUCUUUCUAUUAAUUUCAAGUUAUCCUCAAGUAUGAGCCCCAGCAGCGAAGUAGAGAGGAUGGAAAUGUCUCGAGUACAGUAUGCAUCAGCAGUGGGUAGUUUGAUGUUUGCUAUGAUAUGUACAAGACCAGACAUUGCACAAGCAGUGUGAGCGGUUAGUCGAUACAUGGUAAAUCCUGGUAAAGAGCAUUGGAGUACUGUAAAGAGGAUCCUAAGAUAUGUUAAGCGUAUCUCAAAUGCUACAUUAUGUUAUGGAGGAUCAAAUUUUAUUGCCAGAGGCUAUGUUGAUUCAGAUUAUGCAAGUGAUCUUGAUAAAAACAAGUCCACCACAGGAUAUGUGUUUACUUUUGCUAGAGCAGCUCUAAGCUGGGUUUCGAAACUGCAACCUAUCGUGUCUAGUACUAUGACGAAGGUUGAAUAUGUGGCAGCUACACAAGCUAGUAAAGAGACAAUCUGGUUGCAAAUGUUAAUGGACAAGUUCGGACACAAACUAGAGAAGAUUGCUCUAUUUUGUGAUAGUCAGAGCGCUUUGCACUUAGCAAAGAAUCCAGCAUUUCAUCAGAGGACAAAGCAUAUUCGAGUCCAAUAUAUCACUUUGUUCGAGAAAAGGUGGAGGAAGGAAGUAUGUAUAUACAGAAAAUCCAUAUAGUAGACAACCUAGUUGAUAUGUUAACAAAGUCAAUCAAAACGGACAAGUUUAUAUGGUGUCGAUCCUCUAUCGGUCUAGCAAAAACGUAAGUAGCAUGGAAAUGGCAAGUUAGGAAGGAUUGAAGUGGUCAACAAAAGUGACUUUAAGUGGAAGAAAUGUUGAAAAUAAAGCGACCUUUUUUUACCAUGACACUUACUUAACAACCAAGCAAGACGCAUGCAUGCAAAUGGAAAGUUGGCAAUUUUGAUUGCUCCUCUUCAGCCGAAAUACUUGAAGAAAAUUCAGCCAAUUUUUCUUGACCUUUCCAACAACUGAGGCGGUGGAACUUCCAGCUUUGGUCCAGCCAUUUGACAGCCCAUUUACAGUCAUCUUUCUUGAAUUUUUUGAAGCAACUGGGCAGCAAAAAAUUCUCUAUAAAAGGAGGCAAGAGUUGAAGGAAAAAGAGCCGUGGGUAUGGAGAGGGAAAAUUGAGAGAAAACUUUCUUUUAGUAGAGAGAAAAAAAUGGUGAAGUAGAGAGAGAAAAAUUAUUUUUUUCUCCCAGGUAUUUCCUACUUGUUUUUUCCUAAUUACAAUAGAGAUUAUUUGUUGUUAUCUUCUUGUAUUUAGAAAGAGUGUUGUAAUUUUUCUACUAUAGUGAAUCCUCCCAUACUUGCCCGUGGACGUAGCCAAAAUUGAGUGAACCACGUAAAUACUUGUGUUCAUUUUCGCUGCGGUUUCUCAAUUCCAUUAUCGUUGUCAGCCAAAGUCGACCCACGCAUUUUCUCCCCAACAGCAUGAAUCUUUUACUUCUAAGAAAAAAAAGGGAAUAUGUGAGACCAUAAUUAACUGAGACUUGAAAUAAAAAAAGUAUAUAAGGAAAAUCUUUUCAUGUGUAAUGAAAUACGCCUUUCCAAUGUUUUAAGGUAAGACUUGAUGCUUUUAGAACUCCAAAAAUUAGCAAGCUACAUCAUGUAUUCUCAAAUCUUGAACAUGAAUCGUACAUAGAAUGAUGCAGGCUCUAGUGGACAGGUUGGUACCGCUACUCGUAAAACAGCUGCUGCAAGAUUAUUAAGAAUGGGUGCGUAAACAACAGGGUUCGUUUUCAAUGGAACUUCAAAGUAAGUUUUUGUACUUCAUCACAUCAGUUUUCUCAUAGAACUCCUGAUCUGAAGAUGCAAAAGUUUAUCAUGUAAUCUAUAUAUGUGACCUAUUACUUUAUACAAAGUCUGUAGUUAUAGUACCAUUGACUCCUAAAUUAUUCAAGUCUCUUGAAAGAUAAUCUAUUUUCAGGAAGCCGUGCUUCUACAUGAAAACCACAUUUACUUCCUCGGGUUAGAGUUAACAAUGUACUUUCUUAAGGUAAGCACAAAAUUUCCAUACACUAGGGCACGACCCGGUUAUUUUUCUUCACAUUUUUCUUUUCAUCUAGGGUGAGGAGCAGAAGUCCUGGAUUGUCAUUGUCUGAUGUGUGUAAUAGAUUAAAUCAUAUCUUUGAGCACUCUUUCAUGAAAUAAUCUUGUAUUAGUACUGAGUAACAUAUAGCUCUCAUUUGUUCGAAAAUCUCCCUCUUGAUCUGCAAAAUGAAACAAAUUUAUAUAGUCUGGAAUGCUUAUUGGCCUUGAAAUUGUAAUACAUUGCUGUGAUGUACAAAUCAAAUUGUUGUUUUUGAUUUAAGAAUGUUUAUGAAAAACAGGAAAUAACCUAGUGAAUAAAUCUCGUGUUUAC